Non-coding RNA from Ictidomys tridecemlineatus (thirteen-lined ground squirrel), 72 nucleotides. The record is from Rfam. Lineage: Eukaryota; Metazoa; Chordata; Mammalia; Rodentia; Sciuridae.
GGGGAUGUAGUUCAGUGGUAAAGCUCCUACCUAGCACGCAUGAAGUCUUGGUUUAGAUUCCCAGCACCCCCA